CCUUAACCUGCUAAAUAGCCCGUGUUGCUUCUGCAGCACGCUGGCUUCUUAGAGGGACUAUCGGCUCAAGCCGAUGGAAGUUUGAGGCAAUAACAGGUCUGUGAUGCCCUUAGAUGUUCUGGGCCGCACGCGCGCUACACUGAUAAAGCCAGCGAGUUCUCCCUUGGCCGAAAGGUCCGGGUAAUCUUGUUAAACUUUAUCGUGCUGGGGAUAGGGCCUUGCAAUUAUUGCCCUUCAACGAGGAAUCCCUAGUAAGCGCAAGUCAUCAGCUUGCGUUGAUUACGUCCCUGCCCUUUGUACACACCGCCCGUCGCUACUACCGAUUGAAUGGUUCAGUGAGGCUUUCGGACUGGCCCAGGGUAGUGGGCAACUACCGCCCAGGGCCGGAAAGUUAUCCAAACUCGAUCAUUUAGAGGAAGUAAAAGUCG
Molecule: ribosomal RNA, 428 nt
Filed under: Sordariomycetidae sp.
Lineage: Eukaryota; Fungi; Ascomycota; Sordariomycetes
Description: SSU rRNA
Rfam family: Eukaryotic small subunit ribosomal RNA
Source: RNAcentral